GGGGGAUCAUCAACAGGCGGCCAGCUGUGGCCACCAGAGGGCGAUGGUCCCGUGGACCGGACAGACAGGGCUUCUCAGGCCAGGGUCUCCUGGAGGAUUUUUGGUCUGGUUCUGUUCUGUUCUGUUUUUUUAGUCAUUUUUAUUGCACUAUAACAUACGUGAAGAAAAGAACACAAAUCAUAAGUUGUACAGCUGUCAGAUUUUUCUCAAAGUGAACAGGAAAGAGUAGCAUCCAAACCUGGUGACCAGCAGCCUCUCCUCAAGGAGAAAUCGGAGUAGGCCCUUGGCUUUCAAGGACUUGUUAUUGGCCAUUUGGAGGCUUUUCAAAGAUGACUCUGAGGUGUCAGAAGAGGAACCACAUGUGACUCCGUUGGAGCUGGACCUGGAGCCUCCAGCACGGCUGUGAGGACGCUCAGUGCCUUCCUGGCCACUCUGCUACACUUCCUGUCACCGAAUGCUGAAGAGAGACCCCCGGUAGGUAUCCUAGCCCCCUCACAGAGGAGGACUCUCAGAAUCCUUCAGGGACUUCUCCAGGGCUGCGUGGGGACAGACCCAGACUCCUCUCCUUUCUCCAGCGGCAGAAAGCUGGCCCGUUCCUGAGUGCCAGCCCUGAGGAACAUCCUGUACGCCCUCCCAGCUCAGCCUCACACACUGUUCCCCCCAGGCUGGUGUCAGCGCUCAGCACUUGGUCAAGGCACUGGUCACGUUCUACUUUGGCUAACUCUUCGCUCCCUUCCGAAGACGCCACCUGACUUCCACCUCCACAGAGCAGUUUUGCAGGCUUUGGAUAUCGUACAAAUGGACUCACAAGCUAUCCUAUUGUUGGACUUUCACAAAUCUCUGGCUCUUUCUACCCUCUCUGGCAUUGGAGGCCAGUGAGCUCCCCACUCACGGAGCUUUACCUGCCUGCAGGCACAGUCAGAUCCAACUUCUGGAAAGAGAAGCCUUGAAAAAACAAAGCUUCCCCACCAAACACCUGAUGGGAACCGUAACACAGGACCUCCAGCCCCGGCUUCCAGCUGGCUGGGAUUCUAGUUGGCUUCCUGUGUGCUUCUCUUGCAUAUUUUGAGACCUGUGCACGCUAAGAAAAACCCACAUGUGAAAAUCCAAACCAAAUAAAGCUGUUUAAUC
RNAcentral lists this long non-coding RNA (1131 nucleotides) under Equus caballus (horse). RNAcentral's name for it is "lncRNA (ENSECAG00000044112.1)". Lineage: Eukaryota; Metazoa; Chordata; Mammalia; Perissodactyla; Equidae. The record is from RNAcentral.